UACACAGAGAUGUGGAGUGGAUGUUGACAAUGUAGGCGCUUGUUUGGACAGUUUCGCUGUUAUCUUCGUUUGUCUGUCGCCUGACCCGCAACUCUCACUUAAUUCACUUCGAAUUUUACAUAAAGCCACUAUAAAUUCGUUUACACAUCCAGGAACAGACUCAGCGAUGAACUCUGGAAGCGGACGAGAACAGUUCACUUGGACGCUUUGAGCAUUUCCAGCGAUGGACAAGCAGAAAGUGCUGGCUCGGCUGGUUUCGGACCUGCAGGCCUUCUUGCUGGUUCUGGACAGUGAGAAUCUCAGUUAUAUCGCUCAGGCCCAGAAAAAAUCCAUCUCAGAGCUGCUAUAUAAACUGCAGGACAACAGGGACGCACCAGAGGAUGCGGAGUACAUGAUUAUGAACUGUCCCUCUGGAGGCCCCAGUGAUCUCAGGGAAAGCACCGAUGCUGAGGCUCAUUCGACCGAGGAAGCUCUUUCCGUCAGCUCUACUGACCGCCUGCAGCCCGGGGU
RNAcentral lists this long non-coding RNA (510 nucleotides) under Sinocyclocheilus anshuiensis. RNAcentral's name for it is "lncRNA (ENSSANG00000015177.1)". The record is from RNAcentral. Lineage: Eukaryota; Metazoa; Chordata; Actinopteri; Cypriniformes; Cyprinidae.